Eleginops maclovinus (Patagonian blennie) is the source of this 938-nucleotide long non-coding RNA. RefSeq lists it as uncharacterized. The transcript is spliced from 3 exons. NCBI's taxonomy places the organism in Eukaryota, Metazoa, Chordata, Actinopteri, Perciformes, Eleginopidae. The record is from RefSeq and is a predicted model, not a curated record.
AGUUAGUUAAAACCUCAUAGUUUAAAGACCUCAUGACACCUAGAGACUACCUUUUUUUAUUUAGUCUAAAAUAACUUUUAUUUUCGAUUUGAAAUACAUAAUUGUGAUAAAUAUGCCCGGUUCUCUGUUAUUUUCGAAAUUUGUACGCAAGCCACUGAAAUCCACAGGCCAGUGUCUUGACAACGUUCCAACAUAAAGAUGACGUAUGCUCCGGAACGCUUUUAGACCUGAUUGCACCUGCUGCCACCCUUGACCUUGAUCAUUUCUAGUCACAGUAAGUCGUACUCGCAGUUUUAGCAUCUUUAAAGUUUUGUUCUUAAUAUUUUUGUUGAGAACAUGCCUGAGCGGUGUGUUGCAGCGUAUUGUUCAAACACCAGGGAGAACGGUUUUACCCUUCAUCGGUUUCCGAAAGACCCUGCUUUGUGUGAACUCUGGACGCAACAAGUUUGUAGGACAAGAGCUGGUCCGAAAGGAACAGUAUGGAAGCCAAGCUCGUCGUCUGUACUUUGCUCAGCGCAUUUUGAAGAGGAGUGCUACGACUCGAUCCCCGCUCUGAAGGAGCAGCUUGGUAUUGAUGUUCGUCUGAAGAAGGUUUUGCUGCCCAAUUCGGUUCCGCGUAUAUUUCAUCGAGGGACAAGCUCGAGGUUAGCCCCGGGGGCGAACGGCGACGUCAAGAGCCGGAGGUCUCAUGCUCUGGAGAAAAGGCAGAGAUUGGAGGUACUACAGGAAUGCCAGUCUGAGUAUGUUGCUGAAGAGGAAAGCGAUGACUUUCCUGACGGGGACCCAUCUACUGAUGUGAAUUCAACAGAAGAUCAGCACAGUGACUUUUCCGUUCAAGUGUGUCUGAGGCCACCAACAAGGACGGUGGCUAUGCAGUUCAAAGGAAGGGGACGGACUAAAGGUAUUUUAUCAUUUAUGUACGUAUUUUAGCCAAACAG